RNAcentral lists this ribosomal RNA (480 nucleotides) under uncultured bacterium. Its description in RNAcentral is "bacterial SSU rRNA". It matches the Rfam family "Bacterial small subunit ribosomal RNA", at positions 28 to 521 of the family's 1533-position model. The record is from RNAcentral.
GAUGAACGCUAGCGGCAGGCUUAAUACAUGCAAGUCAAGGGGGUAGCAAUACAACCGGCGCACGGGUGAGUAACGCGUACACAACAUACCAUAUACUGGAGUAUAGCUUUGGGAAACUGAAGGUAAUCCUCCAUAACAUUGCGAGAGGGCAUCUGAUUGCAAUUAAAGUUUCGGCGGUAUAUGAUUGGUGUGCGUUUGAUUAGCUAGUUGGUAGGGUAACGGCCUACCAAGGCGACGAUCAAUAGCUGGCGUGAGAGCGCGACCAGCCACACUGGAACUGAGACACGGUCCAGACUCCUACGGGAGGCAGCAGUAGGGAAUAUUGGACAAUGGAGGAAACUCUGAUCCAGCCAUGCCGCGUGAUAGAUGAAGGCCCUCUGGGUUGUAAAUAUCUUUAUCUGGGAAGAAACAUCCUAUUCUUAGGAACUUGACGGUACCAGAGGAAUAAGCACCGGCUAACUCCGUGCCAGCAGCCGCGGU